Oryctolagus cuniculus (rabbit) is the source of this 1263-nucleotide non-coding RNA. Lineage: Eukaryota; Metazoa; Chordata; Mammalia; Lagomorpha; Leporidae. The record is from RefSeq and is a predicted model, not a curated record.
UGUUGCAGUUGUAACUUUUGCUGUGGCAGAAUUAGGAGAUAGGGCCUUUAAAAAAAGGUGGUAAUUAAGGUUAAAUGACAUCAUAAUGAUGGGACCCUAAUCCAACAAGAAUGCUGUCCUUACAAGGAGAAAGAGACACCAGGAGCAGAAGCAUGCCCAAAUAAAAGGCCACGUGAGGACUCAGAGACAGUGGAUAUCUGCAAGCCAAGGAGAGAAAGGUCAUCAGAAACCACCCCUGGAAGGAGAGACUUUCAGCCUUCAGAACCGUGAGAAAAAAUUGUCUGAAAUUUCUAAGCAUCUUUACUUACUACACAUGAAGACAAGAGGGGAAGAGGACGUGAAGAUACAUAGAUGAAUAGACAGUGAAGAAUAAAAGUGACUGGCAGAGUAAAUUCAUUGAAAAGGACCAGCCAAACCCAGGUGGCAGAGGUUGUUCAAGGAUGUGAAAAACGAAAAGAUAAACUCUACUGAGUUUACUUUGGCUUGUCAGUUGAUGCUGUGACUUGGAAGGAGGAAAGUGUCACAAAUCAUAAAAAAAAUUGUAUUUGACAAUAAGGUAUCAAAUCAGGUCAAAUGGAGGGGAAAACUGUAUUUUGAGGGGAUACUAUGAUUUAUUUCCAAAACAUGACCCUGGGCCUUUUUUAGUGUUUGUGGGAGAUGUCUAUUGCAUUGCUCAACAGAUUUAAGAAAGUUUUCAGUGAGGUGAUGGAGCACCAAUAAUUAUGGGAUUGUUAAAUAAAUGUUCAGAAAUAGAGAGGGGCACCCUUUACCAGGAAGCAGCCUGCUUUGGUAUGUCGGAGGGUAGAUCUGGAUCUCAAUGGUGAGGCAUGACAGAGGCGGGCUGUGAUGUUUUCUGGGCCACAAACAAAAUCAUUUACGCUGUUGUCACAGGUAGAACAGUUGACCAAAUUAUCCAGUGUGGAAAUUAAAUACCCAUCAUUUUCUACAUACCAGAUAAAUUUGAUUUUUAAUCUCAUUUCUGCCACUUCAUAGCCUGUGACCUUGGGCAAGUUGCUUAAUGCCACUGAGCUUCAUUUUCCUAGUAUGUGGAAUGGGAAUAACACGCUUACCGAAUUGAAUUGUGAAGGGACACAAACACUCAUACCGCAGCAGUUGCUUUGUUAGGGAGAUGGUUAUGAAUGUGUCUCUGGGCCCUAUAAAUAGAUUCAGGGAUGGGUUGUUUGUGCAAUGGGGAGGAAACCAGAGGCAGGAGUAGGGCUCAGUAUUCAGUGGGAACGUAACAGGAGAGAGGACGCACCAGAC